GCAAGAAGUCACGAGUGCUGCGAGUGUCGUAGAUGAAUGGGCUCAGGAGAGAACUACAUGGGGUCAGAGUUAAAAUGAGCUCAACAGUGCAAAAAAUAAUGUCAUAAAGAAGGAAAUUGCAGGUAUGGGGCAACUGCGGAGGCUUGCGUCACUGGGCUCUUUCUCUCCGCCAGAGACAAAGAUGCAGAUCAUGACAGGAGGCGCAGAUAUAAAGGAUCGCUGGAGAGAGGCAGCAGCAGUAAACCAUUGGAAGGUGACCGCAGCUCAUCCAAUAUGAUCUCUGUUGUGAGUGGCCGGUAUCAGAGCUGCUGCAGUGCCUCUCUAACGAAGAAAAUGCAAAAAGUAAAUGGCAUUGAAUAGCCAAGGAGGAGUCAAUUUUUCAACGCGAUCGUAACCUCAUUUUCUUUCCUACAGGUGAUUAAAAUUUGCCUGCUGGCGGCCGCCUGCUUUGCUCUUCCAGGCGGCAGUGGCGGCGGUGGUGGCUUUGGAGGAGGCCAUGGAGGUGGCGGCGGUGGUGGCUUUGGAGGCGGCGGCGGUGGUGGCUUUGGAGGCGGCCAUGGAGGUGGCGGCGGUGGCGGGGGUGGUUAUGGGGGCGGAGUGGCUGUACCAAUUCCCUACAACUUCGAUUACGGCGUCUCAGCGGGUAACACAAACUUCGGCCACAGCGAGAGCGGGGACGGCCGCGGCAGCGCUCACGGCGGCUAUUGGGUGAACCUUCCCGACGGUCGGGUGCAGAACGUCAACUACUGGGCUGAUGGCAGCGGCUACCACCCCGUAGUGACGUAUCAGGGGACCGCCGUCUUUCCUAGCAGCAAAGGUGGCGGCUACUACUGAAGCGGACUGAAUUUCUCUAUUUCCUGAGUUGGACUGUUGGAAAUUGACAUUAAAUACUCUGGGACACAAGCUUCAACUCUCAUAAAUAAAGAACUGUAGGCAAG
Long non-coding RNA from Eriocheir sinensis (Chinese mitten crab), 938 nucleotides. RefSeq lists it as uncharacterized. Lineage: Eukaryota; Metazoa; Arthropoda; Malacostraca; Decapoda; Varunidae. The transcript has 2 exons. The record is from RefSeq and is a predicted model, not a curated record.